AACGAACGCUGGCGGCAUGCCUAACACAUGCAAGUCGAACGAGACCUUCGGGGCUAGUGGCGCACGGGUGCGUAACGCGUGGGAACCUGCCCUUAGGUUCGGAAUAACUCCCCGAAAGGGGUGCUAAUACCGGAUAAUGUCUUCGGACCAAAGAUUUAUCGCCUUUGGAUGGGCCCGCGUUGGAUUAGCUAGUUGGUAGGGUAAAAGCCUACCAAGGCGACGAUCCAUAGCUGGUCUGAGAGGAUGAUCAGCCACACUGGGACUGAGACACGGCCCAGACUCCUACGGGAGGCAGCAGUGGGGAAUAUUGGACAAUGGGCGAAAGCCUGAUCCAGCAAUGCCGCGUGAAUGAUGAAGGCCUUAGGGUUGUAAAGCUCUUUUACCCGGGAUGAUAAUGACAGUACCGGGAGAAUAAGCUCCGGCUAACUCCGUG
This 433-nucleotide ribosomal RNA is filed under the name uncultured bacterium. Its description in RNAcentral is "partial 16S ribosomal RNA". It matches the Rfam family "Bacterial small subunit ribosomal RNA", at positions 29 to 507 of the family's 1533-position model. The record is from RNAcentral.